GUGGAGCUGUUUGGUAGCUCACAAAGCUCAUAACCUUGAGGUUACAGGUUCGAU
Molecule: transfer RNA, 54 nt
Filed under: Phragmites australis (common reed)
Lineage: Eukaryota; Viridiplantae; Streptophyta; Magnoliopsida; Poales; Poaceae
Also listed under: 1 other name
Description: tRNA-Met
Source: RNAcentral